Drosophila biarmipes is the source of this 783-nucleotide long non-coding RNA. RefSeq lists it as uncharacterized. The record is from RefSeq and is a predicted model, not a curated record. The transcript has 4 exons. Lineage: Eukaryota; Metazoa; Arthropoda; Insecta; Diptera; Drosophilidae.
AACGAACUUGAAAAUGGGUUAAAAUUUCGACCCUCGAUUAAAAGGAAUAUUUAAACGUAUACUAAUAGAGGAUGUCACCACAAACUCAUAGAGGUAUCCCACGUUUAAAUCGGGAUACUGUAACUCAAGUUAUGAAAUUUAGAAGUGCUGUUUUGGGGUCUGAUAGCGAGAUCCAUUGGAAAUACGGAAAAAACGAACUUGAAAAUGGGUUAAAAUUUCGACCCUCGAUUAAAAGGAAUAUUUAAACGUAUACUAAUAGAGGAUGUCACCACAAACUCAUAGAUGUAUCCCACGUUUAAAUCGGGAUACUGUAACUCAAGUUAUGGAAUUUGGAAGUGCAGUUUUGAGGUCUGAUACCGAGAUCCAUUGGAAAUACGGAAAAAACGAACUUGAAAAUGGGUUAAAAUUUCGACCCUCGAUUAAAAGGAAUAUUUAAACGUAUAUUAACAGAGGAUGUCACCACAAACUCAUAGAGGUAUCCCACGUUUAAAUCGGGAUACUGUAACUCAAGUUAUGGAAUUUAGAAGUGCAGUUUUGAGGUCUGAUACCGAGAUCCAUUGGAAAUACGGAAAAAACGAACUUGAAAAUGGGUUAAAAUUUCGACCCUCGAUUAAAAGGAAUAUUUAAACGUAUAUUAACAGAGGAUGUCACCACAAACUCAUAGAGGUAUCCCACGUUUAAAUCGGGAUACUGUAACUCAAGUUAUGGAAUUUAGAAGUGCAGUUUUGAGGUCUGAUACCGAGAUCCAUUGAAAAUACGGAAAAAACGAACUUGAAAAUGGGU